This 497-nucleotide ribosomal RNA is filed under the name uncultured bacterium. RNAcentral's name for it is "partial 16S ribosomal RNA". It matches the Rfam family "Bacterial small subunit ribosomal RNA", at positions 28 to 507 of the family's 1533-position model. The record is from RNAcentral.
GACGAACGCUGGCGGCGUGCCUAAUACAUGCAAGUUGAGCGCUGAAGGUUGGUACUUGUACCAACUGGAUGAGCAGCGAACGGGUGAGUAACGCGUGGGGAAUCUGCCUUUGAGCGGGGGACAACACUUGGAAACGAAUGCUAAUACCGCAUAAAAACUUUAAACACAAGUUUUAAGUUUGAAAGAUGCAAUUGCAUCACUCAAAGAUGAUCCCGCGUUGUAUUAGCUAGUUGGUGAGGUAAAGGCUCACCAAGGCGAUGAUACAUAGCCGACCUGAGAGGGUGAGCGACCACAUUGGGACGGAGAGACGGCCCAAACGCCUACGGGAGGCAGCAGUAGGGAAUCUUCGGCAAUGGACGAAAGUGUGACCGAGCAACGCCGCGUGAGUGAAGAAGGUUGUCGGAUCGUAAAACUCUGUUGGUAGAGAAGAACGUUGGUGAGAGUGGAAAGCUCAUCAAGUGACGGUAACUACCCAGAAAGGGACGGCUAACUACGUG